GACGAACGCUGGCGGCGUGCUUAACACAUGCAAGUCGAACGGAAAGGCCCUGCUUUUGUGGGGUGCUCGAGUGGCGAACGGGUGAGUAACACGUGAGUAACCUGCCCUUGACUUUGGGAUAACUUCAGGAAACUGGGGCUAAUACCGGAUAGGAUCUCCUGCUGCAUGGUGGGGGUUGGAAAGUUUCGGCGGUUGGGGAUGGACUCGCGGCUUAUCAGCUUGUUGGGGGGGUAGUUGCUUACCAAGGCUUUGACGGGUAGCCCGCCUGAGAGGGUGACCGGGCACAUUGGGACUGCGAUACGGCGCAGACUCCUACGGGAGGCAGCAGUGGGGAAUAUUGCACAAUGGGCGGACGCCUGAUGCAGCAGCGCCGCGUGCGGGAUGACGGCUUUCGGGUUGUAAACCGCUUUCGCCUGUGACGAAGCGUGAGUGACGGUACUGGGUAAAGAAGCACCGGCUAACUACGUG
RNAcentral lists this ribosomal RNA (468 nucleotides) under uncultured bacterium. Its description in RNAcentral is "partial 16S ribosomal RNA". It matches the Rfam family "Bacterial small subunit ribosomal RNA", at positions 28 to 507 of the family's 1533-position model. The record is from RNAcentral.